UACGAAGGGGGCUAGCGUUGUUCGGAAUCACUGGGCGUAAAGCGCACGCAGGCGGACCUGCAAGUCGGGGGUGAAAGCCCGAGGCUCAACCUCGGAACUGCCUUCGAUACUGCGGGUCUCGAGUCCGGGAGAGGUGAGUGGAAUUCCUAGUGUAGAGGUGAAAUUCGUAGAUAUUAGGAAGAACACCAGUGGCGAAGGCGGCUCACUGGCCCGGUACUGACGCUGAGGCGCGAAAGCGUGGGGAGCAAACAGG
RNAcentral lists this ribosomal RNA (253 nucleotides) under uncultured bacterium. Its description in RNAcentral is "partial 16S ribosomal RNA". It matches the Rfam family "Bacterial small subunit ribosomal RNA", at positions 524 to 776 of the family's 1533-position model. The record is from RNAcentral.